AGGGAAAGCUGGGGGCAUGCCUAACACAUGCAAGUCGAACGGCAGCGCGGGGGCAACCCUGGCGGCGAGUGGCGGACGGGUGAGGAAUGCAUAGGAAUCUGCCCGGUUGUGGGGGAUAACGUAGGGAAACUUACGCUAAUACCGCAUACGACCUUCGGGUGAAAGUGGGGGACCUUCGGGCCUCACGCGAUCGGAUGAGCCUAUGCCCGAUUAGCUAGUUGGCGGGGUAAGAGCCCACCAAGGCGACGAUCGGUAGCUGGUCUGAGAGGAUGAUCAGCCACACUGGGACUGAGACACGGCCCAGACUCCUACGGGAGGCAGCAGUGGGGAAUAUUGGACAAUGGGCGCAAGCCUGAUCCAGCAAUGCCGCGUGUGUGAAGAAGGCCUUCGGGUUGUAAAGCACUUUUGUUCGGGAAGAAAUCCGUGUGGUUAAUACCCGUACGGGAUGACGGUACCGAAAGAAUAAGCACCGGCUAACUUCGUG
This 484-nucleotide ribosomal RNA is filed under the name uncultured bacterium. RNAcentral's name for it is "partial 16S ribosomal RNA". It matches the Rfam family "Bacterial small subunit ribosomal RNA", at positions 31 to 507 of the family's 1533-position model. The record is from RNAcentral.